This 455-nucleotide ribosomal RNA is filed under the name Arthrobacter sp. RNAcentral describes it as "bacterial SSU rRNA". It matches the Rfam family "Bacterial small subunit ribosomal RNA", at positions 44 to 504 of the family's 1533-position model. Lineage: Bacteria; Bacillati; Actinomycetota; Actinomycetes; Micrococcales; Micrococcaceae. The record is from RNAcentral.
GUGCUUACACAUGCAGUCGAACGAUGAACCUCACUUGUGGGGGGAUUAGUGGCGAACGGGUGAGUAACACGUGAGUAACCUGCCCUUGACUCUGGGAUAAGCCUGGGAAACCGGGUCUAAUACUGGAUACGACCUUCUGGCGCAUGCCAUGUUGGUGGAAAGCUUUUGUGGUUUUGGAUGGACUCGCGGCCUAUCAGCUUGUUGGUGGGGUAAUGGCCUACCAAGGCGACGACGGGUAGCCGGCCUGAGAGGGUGACCGGCCACACUGGGACUGAGACACGGCCCAGACUCCUACGGGAGGCAGCAGUGGGGAAUAUUGCACAAUGGGCGCAAGCCUGAUGCAGCGACGCCGCGUGAGGGAUGAAGGCCUUCGGGUUGUAAACCUCUUUCAGUAGGGAAGAAGCCGGCCUUUUGGGUUGGUGACGGUACCUGCAGAAGAAGCGCCGGCUAACUAC